This 117-nucleotide ribosomal RNA is filed under the name Bacillota bacterium. RNAcentral also lists the same sequence under 1 other name. Lineage: Bacteria; Bacillati; Bacillota. The record is from RNAcentral.
CCUGGUGAUGAAGGCGGAGAGGCCACACCUGUUCCCAUUCCGAACACAGAAGUUAAGCUCUCCAGCGCCGAUAGUACUUGGGACGAGAGUCCCUGGGAGGGUAGGUCAUUGCCAGGA